Long non-coding RNA from Oncorhynchus masou masou (cherry salmon), 3242 nucleotides. RefSeq lists it as uncharacterized. NCBI's taxonomy places the organism in Eukaryota, Metazoa, Chordata, Actinopteri, Salmoniformes, Salmonidae. The record is from RefSeq and is a predicted model, not a curated record. The transcript is spliced from 3 exons.
UUUAUGGCGGUUUUGGAGCAGUGGCUUCUUUCUUGCUGAGCGGCCUUUCAGGUUAUGUCGAUAUAGGACUCGUUUUACUGUGGAUAUAGAUACUUUUGUACCUGUUUCGCCCAGCAUCUUCACAAGGUCCUUUGCUGUUGUUCUGGGAUUGAUUUGCACUUUUCGCACCAAAAUGAACAUGGUACCUUCAGGCAUUUGGAAAUUGCUCCCAAGGAUGAACCAGACUUGUGGAGGUCUUGGCUGAUUUCUUUUGAUUUUCCCAUGAUGUCAAGCAAAGAGGCACUGUGUUUGAAGCCAACAUCCUCCUGCUCUCCAUCUCUGUGAAGCCAACAGCCUCCUCCUUUCCAUUUCUGUGAAGCCAACAGCCUCCUGCUCUCAUCUCUGUGAAGCCAACAGCCUCCUGCUCUCCAUCUCUGUGAAGCCAACAGCCUGCAGCUAUCCAUCUCUGUGAAGCCAACAGCCUCCUGCUCUGCUCUCUGUGAAGUCAACAGCCUGCAGCUAUCCAUCUCUGUGAAGCCAACAGCAUGCAGCUAUCCAUCUCUGUGAAGCCAACAGCCUCCUGCUCUGCUCUCUGUGAAGUCAACAUCCUCCUGCUCUGCUCUCUGUGAAGCCAACAGCCUGCAGCUAUCCAUCUCUGUGAAGCCAACAGCCUCCUGCUCUGCUCUCUGUGAAGUCAACAGCCUUCUGCUCUGCUCUCUGUGAAGUCAACAGCCUCCUGCUCUGCUCUCUGAAGUCAAGAGCUUGCAGCUAUCCAUCUCUGUGAAGCCAACAGCCUCCUGCUCUGCUCUCUGUGAAGCCAACAGCCUGCAGCUAUCCAUCUCUGUGAAGCCAACAGCCUCCUGCUCUGCUCUCUGUGAAGUCAACAGCCUCCUGCUCUGCUCUCUGUGAAGCCAACAGCCUCCUGCUUUCCAUCUAUCCAGUGUGCUCAUGUCCUAAUCAGUCAAAGCCUUUAAUGUUUAACCUGAGUAUUAAGGGUUCAAGUCAAUGAUAAACCAGCAAGUCAGUGAUCCCAGCUUUUUUUACACCACACCAGACAACACCAUGUGUGCUGGCUGGUAUAUUUCCAUGAUUGAAAUAUUAUCCCAAUAUCAGGUAGCUAAUUGUGCAGUGUCAGUAAACAUGAUAUUAUCAGAACACACACUCCAACGUGUUUUUAAUACCACGUAUUGUAAAGAUAUUAAAUAAAACAUUUGAAUCAUUCAUGAAUGUGUCAUAAAUAAUGCAGUUUAGAUCAAUGAGAAUUAGUCAUUGGCUUUGGUUUCAACACAUUUGAUGACACAUUUCACAAACAAUUCUGCACCAAGCUUCAAAGUUCAUCAUAAUAUUAUGCCACAUGUUUGAUGGAUCUGCAGUCACACUUAAUCUAUAUAACAUGUUUUCUACCUGUGUCAGGAACGCUAUCUAGGACUGAUGAUUGUGGUUUGUUUUAAACUGGAUCUUCAGUAUUAUGUGGCAUGGAUUUGGUGUAAAAUAAACUGGGCUUUAGUACUUCACACCCGAUACUAGUCUGUUGUAAACCAAACUGGAGCUUCAGUACUGUGUGGGUCAGUGAAAUUGGUCUGUUGUAAACCAAACUGGAGUUUCCGGAGUGUGCUGGUAAUUUGUGUCAUAGCUGACAUUGUUGACAAAGCAGGACGUCUGGAGAACUACAGUAACUCCUCACUGCCCCUUCUCCCAGACUACUAGAAUCUUCUGGAGGUCCUGGAUUCCUGUGGGGGCAAUUACCACAGCUGAGAAAGCUUAAACAGGGGAUUUGUGGUCUUACAGCUAGCUCUAAGGGGCUGGGUCACUAUCCCCAUGACUGGGGCGCAAAGUUGUGGACUCCAGUCACAUGACUUGAACUAGAGUCUGACUUGACAGAAAAUAAAAAAACUUGUCACGUGACUUGGAGCCUCAAGUCUCGGGAUUUGACUUUGAUUUGAGACUGGUGACUUGAAAUUAUCUGACCAGGUUUUGUAAUGUUUUGUCAACGUGGAAUACUCUACACACAGCUAGAGACAGUAGCUGCAGUAUGGGCCUUGCAAAACACGCAAACUCGGCACUCUGAUUGGACCAGCAAACUGUCAAUCAACACAGGUCUGGUGAAUUGUUUGCUGUUGCUUUCACACGUUUAAAUGGAUAGGCCCUAUGUGGUAAAUCUAAAUUCCAUCCAAUACUUCGAUGUUUCAUCAAUCCAUCCCCAUACUGUUUAUUGCAACAUGUAGACAUUUUUGUUUCAUGUUUGAUAGGCCUACGAUACAUUUUUAUUUGAUAGCCAACCAAUUUAUUACCCUGCUCUGAGUGGGCGCGAUGUUUAUAGUGCGCAUGAACGUUCAUAGAACACAAGACACAAGUCCUAAGACAACUUAGAACUUGGAAAUAUCUGACUUCCAAGCGUUCAAAACAACUGGGAACUCGGGGAAAAAAACAGGCUGAGGAAAGUUCAGACUGGGGAAAAUCGAUUUGAACUCUGAAUUUCAACUCGGGCCUCUUUCUCGAGCUCCGACUUUUCGACUUGCAGAUCAGUGAAGGCAAAAUCUGACCUCGUAUUCUCCUUGUUCCCAGUUGUUUGAACGCGGCACAAAUCUUACGUCUUGGUCAUUUUUGUUGUGCGUAAUAGGGAGCGCGCACACCUCAAUCCGCAUAGCAAUAAGCUACGUGUCCUACGUGGACUUUGAACAAUCAUUUUCUCUUAAUCGAUGUAUGUAUGGUGUUGAAACCUCAUGAAUAAUCAUUAAGUCUGGUUAAGACGGACAAUAAAUGUGUAAAUAGCCUUUUACACAGUAGAACCAGUUUAUUGGUUGGAAUAGCAACCUGGGUAAUUGUAUGGUCCAGGGGGCCAAGCCCUUAUAUUAUGUAGGCCUACAUAAUAGGGGGGUGUACAGUUGUGCCCUCUACCAGUGUCUGUUCAGAUUGUUUCAGGGUUAACCUGUUCUUUUGGGCUAUUGCCAGUGUAUAUUUGGUAAAUCUAAUUGUAUAUUUUGCAUGAUAUGGCGCUUCCACCAUUGGACCACCAAGACCUGUAUAUAAAUCUACACUGAGCAGCCAACCUGCAUUUCCUUCUUCUGAUUUCUGCCCUUAUGACUGCUACAAGGUCCCUAUUUUACAAUGACAUAGGUUGAUAUGGUGUAGACAAAAUAAUGAAAAGGUCGGUCUGGUAGCCUCAGUAAAUAGACAAAGAUUUGUAGCUGAACAAGUCGUUGAAUGUAUAGAUUUAGUUUUUACUUGGCUUGAAAACUUGGUGCUCCUGCCUAAGUGUUUCU